This 804-nucleotide ribosomal RNA is filed under the name uncultured bacterium. RNAcentral describes it as "bacterial SSU rRNA". It matches the Rfam family "Bacterial small subunit ribosomal RNA", at positions 72 to 873 of the family's 1533-position model. The record is from RNAcentral.
AUUGAAGCUUGCUUCAAUUGCCGGCGACCGGCGCACGGGUGAGUAACGCGUAUCCAACCUUCCGUACACUCAGGGAUAGCCUUUCGAAAGAAAGAUUAAUACCUGAUGGUAUGAUGAGAUUGCAUGAUAGCAUCAUUAAAGAUUUAUCGGUGUACGAUGGGGAUGCGUUCCAUUAGGUAGUAGGCGGGGUAACGGCCCACCUAGCCAACGAUGGAUAGGGGUUCUGAGAGGAAGGUCCCCCACAUUGGAACUGAGACACGGUCCAAACUCCUACGGGAGGCAGCAGUGAGGAAUAUUGGUCAAUGGACGAGAGUCUGAACCAGCCAAGUAGCGUGAAGGAUGAAGGUCCUACGGAUUGUAAACUUCUUUUAUAAGGGAAUAAACCCUCCCACGUGUGGGAGCUUGUAUGUACCUUAUGAAUAAGCAUCGGCUAACUCCGUGCCAGCAGCCGCGGUAAUACGGAGGAUGCGAGCGCUAUCCGGAUUUAUUGGGUUUAAAGGGAGCGCAGACGGGUCGUUAAGUCAGCUGUGAAAGUUUGGGGCUCAACCUUAAAAUUGCAGUUGAUACUGGCGUCCUUGAGUGCGGUUGAGGUGUGCGGAAUUCGUGGUGUAGCGGUGAAAUGCUUAGAUAUCACGAAGAACUCCGAUUGCGAAGGCAGCACACUAAUCCGUAACUGACGUUCAUGCUCGAAAGUGUGGGUAUCAAACAGGAUUAGAUACCCUGGUAGUCCACACGGUAAACGAUGGAUACUCGCUGUUGGCGAUAUACUGUCAGCGGCUUAGCGAAAGCGUUAAGUAUCCCACC